GGAUCAAUAUUUCGGUCAUGCCGUUGGUAUGCACUGUUAUCAUUGAUUUCUCACCUUCUAAAGAACCGUAAUGCCAUUAAUUUGGUGUCACGGGGAAUUAGGACUGUUACCUUGAAAAAAUUAGAGUGUUUAAAGCAGGCUCACGCUUGAAUACAUUAGCAUGGAAUAAUGAAAUAGGACAUCCGAUUCUAUUUUGUUGGUUUCUAGGAUCGAUGUA
RNAcentral lists this ribosomal RNA (217 nucleotides) under Funneliformis monosporus. RNAcentral describes it as "Funneliformis monosporum partial 18S ribosomal RNA". The stretch from base 24 to 217 matches the Rfam family "Eukaryotic small subunit ribosomal RNA", at positions 669 to 864 of the family's 1831-position model. Lineage: Eukaryota; Fungi; Glomeromycota; Glomeromycetes; Glomerales; Glomeraceae. The record is from RNAcentral.